UACGUAGGGAGCAAGCGUUUGUCCGGAAUCAUUGGGCGUAAAGCGCGCGUAGGUGGUCCCGUAAGUCCGCUGUGAAAGUCAAAGGCUCAACCUUUGAAAGCCGGUGGAUACUGUGAGGCUAGAGUACGGAAGAGGCGAGUGGAAUUCCUGGUGUAGCGGUGGAAUGCGCAGAUAUCAGGAGGAACACCAAUAGCGAAGGCAGCUCGCUGGGACGUUACUGACACUGAGGCGCGAAAGCGUGGGGAGCGAACAGG
RNAcentral lists this ribosomal RNA (254 nucleotides) under uncultured bacterium. RNAcentral's name for it is "partial 16S ribosomal RNA". It matches the Rfam family "Bacterial small subunit ribosomal RNA", at positions 524 to 776 of the family's 1533-position model. The record is from RNAcentral.